This 2112-nucleotide unclassified non-coding RNA is filed under the name Hevea brasiliensis (rubber tree). The record is from RNAcentral. Lineage: Eukaryota; Viridiplantae; Streptophyta; Magnoliopsida; Malpighiales; Euphorbiaceae.
AGUGUAUAUUUAUAUGUAUUGUAGGGAAAGUUUCAAUAAUGGAAUUGGGGGAGGUUUUGGGUUUUUGGAUCUUUGAUAUUUGCAAAUGAUUGAAUAAGGUAUUAGGAUUUUUCAAGGUUUAAAAAGUUUGGGAUUUUAAGGGACUGUGCUUAGUGCUUACGUGGCAUUCUCUGUGUCGUUGGAUUGCUACAAUCGUGGCUUAAAGAUUUCUUUGUCUGCUCUUUGUCUUUCCCUGCAGUGAUGCUAAACUACAUAUUCAUCUGCAUAAAUACCAUGUCUGUGCCUGCCUUUCGAUGUUUGACUUCAUAUCUUCUUGGCCCAAAUCAACAGUUCAGUGAAUUGGACCGGCUCUAAAUCGAAUUAUUGGAGUCAGUAAAGGACCCAUCUCCUGAGGUUUUGAUUGAGAAUCAAACUCUGCACUUUCUCUCUCAUCUCUUCCUCCAAUGAACCAUCAUUACAUAUCCCUAAAUCAAUUCCCUCCAAAAUUCAGAACUGGCAUGACAGAUCUUUAGGGCUUAGCAGCAUCGCCGUGAGGACAUAUCCAUUGCCUCCAUUGCAUGCCUUGGCCAUUUUCGAUUGAGACUCGAUUUGUUUCGAUUCCCCAUUGGUCAACGUUACAAUCAGGACAUUUGAACCAGGGUAUGCAUUCUCCAUGUGCUGAUGACACAGCAAAAGAUCAUUAGCCUGAUUGAAUAAAAUAUGUUAAGUUGAUUAACAAGGACUACGCCACUUGUAUUUUAUUUGCAGCAGAUCAAGUUAAAAUAAGAUUUGAGGUAAAAAUAUGUAAAAGAUAGAGAUGUGUUACUGUCUGUAAAAGUUAAUAUGGCUGAGAAAGCAGUUGGUCCCUUCAGUGCAAGUAAUGUUGCCAGCUCUAGGAAAAUGACAGAAACAUCAGGUACACAUCAGAAAGGGGCAACCAUACAAAACAAAUCAUGCAAGGAAUUCUCGUUUGCCAUCCCAGCAAGAAAGGCCAUCAAUAUUUUCAUAAUUUUGCAGUCAAGUUACCAUAUCGUACAAAGAGGCAGUUGCAGCAUAUAUAUUAAAAAACAAAAGAAACAAUAGUAAGAAGGUCAACCACAUAGAAAAUAAGCAUUAAUUGGUUGUUCAAACAAAAUGACAAAAUGUUUAAUCAAUUAUAGUGUUCUGCUUGAGCAUUUUGAGGUCAUAAGAUUCUUCUGAUGACUGAAUUUGCAUACUUUAAAAGAAAAUAUCCCAUCCAUUUUGGGAUACCUCUGUCAAAGCAAAUAUGAUUCUCAAAACACUGCUGAACACUUCUCUGAUUCUGAGAUGCUCCUGCAGUGCUAACAUCAUUCACCUAAUCACAAAUUGACUUUUGUUUGUAACUAGUUAUGAUUGUGCUUGUAGUUCCUAUUAUAAUUGAAGGAUUUACACAAGUUUAUGGUAGUUAAAACAGGAAGCAGGAAAUUGAAAUCUUGGCACUGACAGAGUAAUGCAAUGGUAGUCAUGAUACUAACUUGGCUAUAAUAGGACAAUCUCCAAAUUUAUUAAUAAAAGUCACACUUGCAGUGCAUGCAUACAAAAAAAUACCUUUAGUACGCAGUAGCUUAUCUUUUUAAGCAAGCAAUAACCUUACGCAAUGAAUAAAAUUUAAAACUCUGUCCCUUUUUUUUCCAUCUAAUGAUUGGGUAAACCAUUAAUCACAAACCAACAAAAUAUAAGUUAAAGGAAAAGAAAUCAAAAAUAAUUUCCCUUCACGUUGUUGAGUUUCAAACGAGCGUCCAAGAUUUUACCCUCAAGAGGUAAAUAGAAAAUCCUCUGCCAUUUUAUAUAGCAAAUGCUCGUACCCUCUUUCAUCUGCUACUAGAAAUUCUCUUUUUCUGGGAAAUAAGCGGUAAAUUGGGUUGUGAAACAGACCUGCCAUCUCAAAGUCAUGGAGAAUGAAGUCAAUGGCGAGAUCUAUUGGCGUCUUGGGAGAGCUACACAAAAACAAAAGAUUAAAGAAAUUAAGUAAAGAUUCAAGAAAGACCAUUAAGUAAUUAAAGACCACUAAGUAAUUAUGUACAUUCAUUACUCGUGCAUUUCUGCUCCACUUUCUAAUAACAAAAGCCAAAAAUGACAUUUAUGGGGGAAUUAGAAUAACAAUUGCCAGGC